Molecule: long non-coding RNA, 529 nt
Organism: Hyalella azteca
Lineage: Eukaryota; Metazoa; Arthropoda; Malacostraca; Amphipoda; Hyalellidae
Exons: 2
Source: RefSeq, a predicted model, not a curated record
UGUGUUGUUGUUGUUGUUGUUGUUGUUGGUGGUGCAUCGCUUCUCCCGCUGCAGGUUCCUGCUCUGCAAGUCCAAAAUUCAGGACAAGAACGACGUUCCGACAAUUGCGCUCUCACUGACACCAGCAAACCGCGGAAACGCGGACCACACCGUCGCUGGUACCCCAUCCGGCGGCUACACGAACUUGGGCUACGUGCUUAAUACGUGAACACGUGCACGUGGAUGAGGAAAAAUUUAUAACAUCGAUGAACUACCUAGAUAAUUUAAUUUUUUCCUGGUUGUGUACCUACAUAUAUAUUCUGUAACACAUAAGAACUUUAUUUUGCGUAAUUAAGGACUUUAUACCAAAUAUAUAAAUAUACUACCUCUUUUCUAAUAUGCAUAGAAUUACAAAAGUUAAUGUAGUUGGCGCCUGACCUACAUUUUUCGAGUUUGUGUGCUUGUGUGUUGGGUUUGUGUGUGUGUUGUACGCUUGGUGCCGCAAUAUAUAGGGCUGUUGAGGUGCGUAUCCAGGAUACUUAUGGCGCCG